AACGAACGCUGGCGGCAUGCCUAACACAUGCAAGUCGAACGAAGCCUUCGGGCUUAGUGGCGCACGGGUGCGUAACGCGUGGGAAUCUGCCCUUGGGUUCGGAAUAACAGUUAGAAAUGACUGCUAAUACCGAAUGAUGUCUUCGGACCAAAGAUUUAUCGCCCAAGGAUGAGCCCGCGUCGGAUUAGCUAGUUGGUGAGGUAAAGGCUCACCAAGGCGACGAUCCGUAGCUGGUCUGAGAGGAUGAUCAGCCACACUGGGACUGAGACACGGCCCAGACUCCUACGGGAGGCAGCAGUGGGGAAUAUUGGACAAUGGGCGAAAGCCUGAUCCAGCAAUGCCGCGUGAGUGAUGA
This 355-nucleotide ribosomal RNA is filed under the name uncultured bacterium. Its description in RNAcentral is "bacterial SSU rRNA". It matches the Rfam family "Bacterial small subunit ribosomal RNA", at positions 29 to 411 of the family's 1533-position model. The record is from RNAcentral.